This 497-nucleotide ribosomal RNA is filed under the name uncultured bacterium. RNAcentral describes it as "partial 16S ribosomal RNA". It matches the Rfam family "Bacterial small subunit ribosomal RNA", at positions 28 to 507 of the family's 1533-position model. The record is from RNAcentral.
GAUGAACGCUGGCGGCGUGCCUAAUACAUGCAAGUCGAGCGAACGGACGAGAAGCUUGCUUCUCUGAUGUUAGCGGCGGACGGGUGAGUAACACGUGGAUAUCCUACCUAUAAGACUGGGAUAACUUCGGGAAACCGUAGCUAAUACCGGAUAAUAUUUUGAACCGCAUGGUUCAAAAGUGAAAGACGGUCUUGCUGUCACUUAUAGAUGGAUCCGCGCUGCAUUAGCUAGUUGGUAAGGUAACGGCUUACCAAGGCAACGAUGCAUAGCCGACCUGAGAGGGUGAUCGGCCACACUGGAACUGAGACACGGUCCAGACUCCUACGGGAGGCAGCAGUAGGGAAUCUUCCGCAAUGGGCGAAAGCCUGACGGAGCAACGCCGCGUGAGUGAUGAAGGUCUUCGGAUCGUAAAACUCUGUUAUUAGGGAAGAACAUAUGUGUAAGUAACUGUGCACAUCUUGACGGUACCUAAUCAGAAAGCCACGGCUAACUACGUG